RNAcentral lists this small nucleolar RNA (65 nucleotides) under Rhopalosiphum maidis (corn leaf aphid). The record is from RNAcentral. Lineage: Eukaryota; Metazoa; Arthropoda; Insecta; Hemiptera; Aphididae.
AACAAUAUGAUGAUUUUAUACCGCCCCAGUCUGAAACUUGUGUUGAAGGUUUGAUCUGAAUUAAA